GUUCUCUUCGUCUAGUAGGUUAGGACGCAAGACUUUCACUCUUGAAACAUGGGUUCGAAUCCCAUAGAGAACACCA
RNAcentral lists this transfer RNA (76 nucleotides) under Chloroflexota bacterium. Its description in RNAcentral is "tRNA-Glu". It matches the Rfam family "tRNA". Rfam says of the family: Transfer RNA (tRNA) molecules are approximately 80 nucleotides in length. Their secondary structure includes four short double-helical elements and three loops (D, anti-codon, and T loops). Further hydrogen bonds mediate the characteristic L-shaped molecular structure. tRNAs have two regions of fundamental functional importance: the anti-codon, which is responsible for specific mRNA codon recognition, and the 3' end, to which the tRNAs corresponding amino acid is attached (by aminoacyl-tRNA synthetases). tRNAs cope with the degeneracy of the genetic code in two manners: having more than one tRNA (with a specific anti-codon) for a particular amino acid; and 'wobble' base-pairing, i.e. permitting non-standard base-pairing at the 3rd anti-codon position. The record is from RNAcentral. Lineage: Bacteria; Bacillati; Chloroflexota.